This 382-nucleotide ribosomal RNA is filed under the name uncultured eukaryote. Its description in RNAcentral is "partial 18S ribosomal RNA". It matches the Rfam family "Eukaryotic small subunit ribosomal RNA", at positions 592 to 976 of the family's 1831-position model. The record is from RNAcentral.
CAAUAGUGUAUAUUAAAGUUGUUGCAGUUAAAAAGCUCGUAGUUGGAUUUCUGGUUGAAGCGACCGGUCGGGCGUUGAUUCGUCUGCACUGGAGUCGGUUUUGGCCAUCCUCUAGGAAAGUGCGUCUGGUAUUAAGUUAUCGGGCGUAUGAUCCUGGUCUUUUACUGUGAAAAAAUUAGAGUGUUUAAAGCAGGCCUUCGCCUUGAAUACAUUAGCAUGGAAUAAUAAGAUAGGACUUUGGUCUAUUUUGUUGGUUUGCAGACCGAAGUAAUGAUUAAUAGGGAUAGUUGGGGGUAUUUAUAUUCCGAUGUCAGAGGUGAAAUUCUUAGAUUUUCGGAAGAUAAACUUAUGCGAAAGCAUUUACCAAGGAUGUUUNCAUUAA